This 433-nucleotide ribosomal RNA is filed under the name uncultured bacterium. RNAcentral's name for it is "partial 16S ribosomal RNA". It matches the Rfam family "Bacterial small subunit ribosomal RNA", at positions 29 to 507 of the family's 1533-position model. The record is from RNAcentral.
AACGAACGCUGGCGGCAUGCCUAACACAUGCAAGUCGAACGAGACCUUCGGGUCUAGUGGCUCACGGGUGCGUAACGCGUGGGAACCUGCCCUUAGGUUCGGAAUAACUCCCCGAAAGGGGUGCUAAUACCGGAUAAUGUCUUCGGACCAAAGAUUUAUCGCCUUUGGAUGGGCCCGCGUUGGAUUAGCUAGUUGGUAGGGUAAAAGCCUACCAAGGCGACGAUCCAUAGCUGGUCUGAGAGGAUGAUCAGCCACACUGGGACUGAGACACGGCCCAGACUCCUACGAGAGGCAGCAGUGGGGAAUAUUGGACAAUGGGCGAAAGCCUGAUCCAGCAAUGCCGCGUGAGUGAUGAAGGCCUUAGGGUUGUAAAGCUCUUUUACCCGGGAUGAUAAUGACAGUACCGGGAGAAUAAGCUCCGGCUAACUCCGUG